GAUGAACGCUGGCGGCGUGCCUAAUACAUGCAAGUCGAGCGAACAGACGAGGAGCUUGCUCCUUCGACGUUAGCGGCGGACGGGUGAGUAACACGCAGGUAACCUACCUAUAAGACUGGGAUAACUUCGGGAAACCGGAGCUAAUACCGGAUAAUAUUUCGAACCGCAUGGUUCGAUAGUGAAAGAUGGCUUUGCUAUCACUUAUAGAUGGACCUGCGCCGUAUUAGCUAGUUGGUAAGGUAACGGCUUACCAAGGCAACGAUACGUAGCCGACCUGAGAGGGUGAUCGGCCACACUGGAACUGAGACACGGUCCAGACUCCUACGGGAGGCAGCAGUAGGGAAUCUUCCGCAAUGGGCGAAAGCCUGACGGAGCAACGCCGCGUGAGUGAUGAAGGUCUUCGGAUCGUAAAACUCGGUUAUUAGGGAAGAACAAACGUGUAAGUAACUGUGCACGUCUUGACGGUACCUAAUCAGAAAGCCACGGCUAACUACGUG
Molecule: ribosomal RNA, 497 nt
Filed under: uncultured bacterium
Lineage: Bacteria
Description: partial 16S ribosomal RNA
Rfam family: Bacterial small subunit ribosomal RNA
Source: RNAcentral